GAGAGAGAAUUGUGUGUCUUUCUGUUCAGAGAAUGUGAAUGCCACACUGGGUGACUCCUCCUCAGGAAGGGGAAGGGAAUCAAGGAGUACUGAUCUGUGGUUUAUCUUUGGUGCAGAGUUUGCCAGGACAAAUGUCAACGAGGAAGCAUCAACCUUUGUUUCCAGCAGCUGUCCACGAUCACUCUGUUUUAAUGAAUCUGAGCUGAAAUACAAAUAUUGAGCAAUUUCCUCGCUCUACCAGGAAGGCUGGAAAAAGUGGGGGGUAGAGUGAUGCUUCCAUAUGGUCAUGGUGUGCAGCAGAGCUGCUCAACUGCACUUUAAAGGAGCUGUUCUAACUUCACUGCCACAAGGAUACAGGGAGGCUUCACAGAUGGAAUUUGGCCUUGCACUGAUUAAAUAACCAUUUGUCUUCUUCGACAGUAGAAGAUGGGAAUGCCCUGUCUGAACAACGGUGCUUCCUCUCAUUCCCAGCUUCUCCUGGUGUCUGGUGCUGCAAGAAGGCUGAAAUCCUCCUGACUUCCUUCUGAACAUCGUUAGUAAAAGGGAGCUUUAGAGACUGGGUAUUGCCUGUGACUGACCCUCUAGAAGAGCAUAUUUAAGAAAGAUAUGUCUGAGCUCUCUGCUGGAGAUUGGUUGGUUGUCAAGUCCUUUCUGUGUCCUCCUAAGCCCCUGGAAGAUGCAGCUGCCACUAAUAGAGACAUGCAGAGUCUAUCUCAUGGCAAAAUUCAGGAGAACAAAGGGUCAUCAGGAUUAAAGGCUGCCAAAUCUAACACUGCACAUGCUCUUUCUCCAGCUCUGUGCACUUAUCAGCCGUGGCCUUCACACACACAAAGCCAUGUGGCUGAAGUGCAGAUAACUCAUCUUGUCUGGAGAGUUCAAGAUGUCCCACAGCCCCUGUUGGUGUCACAGCUCUACUCUGGUGCUCCUGCCCUUGCCCCAGGAGCUCACAGCACAUGCUGCUGCCUUUGAGCCAGAAAAGAAGAUAGAGAGGUGAAAACACACCCUUUUUUGGCUAUUUUUCAUGUUAUGCUACAAAACUCUCCAAGCUACACAGGAUGAACAAGACAAGAUUCAUGUUUUCCCAGAUUUAUAGAUGCCAAACCGUGUUCCAUGUGACUGACAUUCAUUCAUGUGCCAUGAGCUUGUCUUUUAUGGAAACAAGUUUCAUCUUUCCCUUGGUCCUGCAGCCUGACUCUGUGCUUUGCUCCUGGAGGAGCACCCAAUGUUUUCUGACACUGAGUCCCACCUGCCUUCUGUUUUCCCAGUCCCACCCCUUAUUAUGCAGAUAUUCAGCAUCACUUCUGGUUGAGACCAUUGUCAGUCCUCUCUGCAGCAGCCUGGAGAGGUGGGAUUUCCAUGGCUGUGUGAAAAAUCACAGAGGUUAAUGACAGCCUAGUGAGAACACAGCCCUUUCCUUAGAGCACUCCAUUUCCUUCACUUCUUCUCCAACCUAGCUUGCUGUAUGCAGUAAAUUUGCACAGGUAAAACAAAGUUGUCUUCUUCUGGGCUGCUUGUCUCUAUCAGUUUCCUCUGAGGUAAUAAACAAUUCUGAUUUCAGGUGUUUCAGCUACACUUCAUUCUCCAUGUGACCCCUGAAAUUCACAUUGUGCCCUCAGCCCUUCUUUAGAAGA
Molecule: long non-coding RNA, 1631 nt
Organism: Passer montanus (Eurasian tree sparrow)
Lineage: Eukaryota; Metazoa; Chordata; Aves; Passeriformes; Passeridae
Exons: 4
Source: RefSeq, a predicted model, not a curated record